UACGGGGGGGGCAAGCGUUGUUCGGAAUUACUGGGCGUAAAGGGCUCGUAGGCGGCCAACUAAGUCAGACGUGAAAUCCCUCGGCUUAACCGGGGAACUGCAUCUGAUACUGGAUGGCUUGAGAUUGGGAGAGGGAUGCGGAAUUCCAGGUGUAGCGGUGAAAUGCGUAGAUAUCUGGAGGAACAUCAGUGGCGAAGGCGACACCCUGGACUCAUACUGACACUGAGGUGCGAAAGCGUGGGGAGCAAACAGG
This 253-nucleotide ribosomal RNA is filed under the name uncultured bacterium. RNAcentral describes it as "partial 16S ribosomal RNA". It matches the Rfam family "Bacterial small subunit ribosomal RNA", at positions 524 to 776 of the family's 1533-position model. The record is from RNAcentral.